This 614-nucleotide ribosomal RNA is filed under the name uncultured bacterium. RNAcentral describes it as "bacterial SSU rRNA". It matches the Rfam family "Bacterial small subunit ribosomal RNA", at positions 338 to 951 of the family's 1533-position model. The record is from RNAcentral.
CCUACGGGAGGCAGCAGUAAGGAAUAUUGGUCAAUGGAGGCAACUCUGAACCAGCCAUGCCGCGUGCAGGAUGACGGCCCUAUGGGUUGUAAACUGCUUUUAUACAAGAGAAAACCCUGGUACGUGUACCAGGUUGAUAGUAUUGUAAGAAUAAGCAUCGGCUAACUUCGUGCCAGCAGCCGCGGUAAGACGAAGGAUGCAAGCGUUAUCCGGAUUCAUUGGGUUUAAAGGGUGCGUAGGCGGACUGAUAAGUCAGUGGUGAAAUCUCUUUGCUUAACAAAGAAACUGCCAUUGAUACUGUCGGUCUAGAGUAUAGAUGACGUUGGCGGAAUAUGACAUGUAGUGGUGAAAUACUUAGAUAUGUCAUAGAACACCGAUUGCGAAGGCAGCUAACGAAACUAUAACUGACGCUGAGGCACGAAAGUGCGGGGAUCAAACAGGAUUAGAUACCCUGGUAGUCCGCACCGUAAACGAUGAUUACUCGUUGUUGGCGAUAUGACAGUCAGCGACCAAGCGAAAGCGAUAAGUAAUCCACCUGGGGAGUACGCCGGCAACGGUGAAACUCAAAUGAAUUGACGGCGNGAGAGNGCGACGGCGACACGAGGGGAGGUAGG